GCACAAGCGGUGGAUUAUGUUGUUUAAUUCGACGCAACGCGAAGAACCUUACCAGGCCUUGACAUACUCGGCAAAGCUCUAGAGAUAGAGUGGAGGUUAUCCGGGAUACAGGUGGUGCAUGGUUGUCGUCAGCUCGUGUCGUGAGAUGUUGGGUUAAGUCCCGCAACGAGCGCAACCCUUGUCUUUAGUUACCAUCAUUCAGUUGGGGACUCUAGAGAGACUGCCGGUGAUAAACCGGAGGAAGGUGGGGAUGACGUCAAAUCAUCAUGCCCCUUACUGGCCUGGGCUACAAACGUAAUACAAUGGCGUAUACAAAGGGAGUGCGAAAGGGCGACCUGGAGCAAGACUCACAAAGUACGUCUCAGUUCAGAUUGGAGUCUGCAACUCGACUCCAUGAAGGCGGAAUCGCUAGUAAUCGCGGAUCAGCAUGCCGCGGUGAAUACGUUCUCGGGGUUU
Molecule: ribosomal RNA, 456 nt
Filed under: uncultured Erysipelothrix sp.
Lineage: Bacteria; Bacillati; Bacillota; Erysipelotrichia; Erysipelotrichales; Erysipelotrichaceae
Description: bacterial SSU rRNA
Rfam family: Bacterial small subunit ribosomal RNA
Source: RNAcentral